RNAcentral lists this long non-coding RNA (1044 nucleotides) under Volvox carteri. RNAcentral describes it as "long non-coding RNA (VCAR_LNC002332)". Lineage: Eukaryota; Viridiplantae; Chlorophyta; Chlorophyceae; Chlamydomonadales; Volvocaceae. The record is from RNAcentral.
UGGGUUGACACUACUGUAGUUAGCGGUUUAAGGUCCUGGUUUCGAUUCCCGGGGAGACCCCCAAAUUAGUCGGGAACGCGAGAUUAUGGCUAGCUGCUGAGAUGUGGAGUUGAGUUCACAGUUGAUGGACCAGAGUCGCACGCUGGAUUGGUGGUGACUGCCGAACCCUGAAUUCGGUGCCACAGGAUGUAUGUGUUGAACAGGGUUGUAAGCAGGGUGGCGGCAAACACAACUGGUGGUUAGGGGGCCAGUCCUUCCUUUCUGGUCAUGAUACAUGCUCAGUUGUGAAGUUUUACUAAACUACAUAAGCCAAAGGCCAUAUCCUUGACAUCGCAGAUGACAACUUUAAUUGAUGGGGUGGGUAGUUGUUGGUUAGUUGGUUCGUUGACGCCUGACAUCGUUGAUGGCUGCUUCCUGAAAGGCCAUCAUGAGGUUCUCCACUAUAUGAAAAUCAUAUUGCCUCGACCUCACCACCGACAGACUGCACAUCCAAGUAAAAUGCAAUCGCACGUAUGCAUUCGCAUUGCUUACCCGGCGGGAGCCUGCAUGCCCGCGUCAAACGCACCAGCGAGUUAUGAGAACGGGCUAACAAGGUUGGGAGUUGGUUAAGAGAAAGCGAUGUGUAUUAUGUAUCGGCCCGCCACAACCACGAUCCAUAUUUGCCCGCACAGCGCUCACGUGCACUCACCACCCUUGACCGCCUUGAGGAUACAUGGCCCGGCGCUGUUUUGUUCAUUGUUCCAUCGCCGCCGCUGCCACCGCUCCCAAGACCGCCCCCAUCAGAAAUGGCAUGGCGGAGCUGACAUCCUUCGAAACGAGUAUGUUAGAUGCGCAUAGAAAAUGAUUCGAUGGUGAAGCAGAUGAAACCCGAAUAUCGGUGCGGAUCAGCUUCGGGAACCGGAGGAUGCAUUGCAUCUCUGGAAGCCACACGAAAGUGUUUCCUGCGGACCAUUUGCAACAAGUACCGGUCCCAGAAACUUUCUGGGACUUUAAGUGCAAUGCGCGGAAGCUGGGUAAAACAAUCUAGGUAAUAGAGUGUUUCCA